This 204-nucleotide long non-coding RNA is filed under the name Lathyrus oleraceus (garden pea). RNAcentral's name for it is "Pisum sativum (pea) long non-coding RNA (PSAT_LNC008905)". The record is from RNAcentral. Lineage: Eukaryota; Viridiplantae; Streptophyta; Magnoliopsida; Fabales; Fabaceae.
AAUGUAUGAUAUAAUGUCUAUAUUGAUCAUCACCAGCCAAGUUCAACAUCAUUAAGAUGUGUAAUUCCAAUUGGGUCAGCUUCACUGUCAUGAGUUCCUUGAAAGUGUGAUCUUGGAAAAGUCAUAUUUGUAAAAUUUUGAAAUGGAACUCUCGACUGACUAUUUAUAAUGCGAGAUGUUUGAGUUUGAUUCUCUUGCUCUUUC